This 1558-nucleotide long non-coding RNA is filed under the name Nicotiana benthamiana. RNAcentral's name for it is "long non-coding RNA (NBEN_LNC039490)". Lineage: Eukaryota; Viridiplantae; Streptophyta; Magnoliopsida; Solanales; Solanaceae. The record is from RNAcentral.
CUAUUCAAUCUCAUACUCCUUGCAAAAACCAUUCUCCAUUAGCUAUUGAUUCUGUUUCUUCCUCUCAUUGUACAUACCAUUCUGAAUUGAAUAAAAUGGAGAUUUUAUGGCAUAAUAGACUAGGACAUAUACCUUUUAUCAGAAUGAAGUACAUUCCUUCUAUUCCAUGCAAAUUUGCAAAUAAACAACCUUUCAUAUGUACUAUUUUCCCAUUAGCUAGACAAUCUAGACUGCCAUUUCAUGACAGUUCAUUAAGACAACACAUGCUUUUCAACUCAUUCAUGUAGAUACCUGAGGUCCUUAUGCCACCUCCACUAAUAAUGGUUGUAAAUAUUUUCUAACCAUAGUUGAUGACUUUACUAGAGCUACCUGGACUCACUUUAUGGGGUCCAAGAGCAAUGUCUUUCCUCUCAUCAAGGCUUUUAUUGCCAUGAUCAAAACUCAAUUCCAGACUGUUGUGCAAACCAUUAGGAGUGAUAAUGCCUUUAAUAUAAUCGUUUCUCUCUCUGCUAGAAAAAACUCAAUUCCAGACUGUUGUGCAAACCAUUAGGAGUGACAAUGCCUUUGAACUUGGAUCUAGUAGUUCUGGCUGCAAUUUCUUUGCUGAAAAUGGAAUCCUACACCAAACUUCUUGCUCUCAUACACCACAACAAAAUUGUGUGGUUGAAAGAAAGCAUAGAUAUCUACCGGAAACAUCCAGAGCCUUACUCUUUCAUUCCCAACUCCCCUUAGAUUCUGGGGUGAUUGUGUGCUUACUGCAACCUAUCUCAUAAACAGAUUUCCUUCCAAACUUUCAUUCCCAACUCCCCCUUAGAUUCUGGGGUGAUUGUGUGCUUACUGCAACCUAUCUCAUAAACAGAUUCCCUUCCAAACUACUUAACAAUGUAUCCCCUUUUGAGUUGCUUUUUGGACAGACCCCCUCUUACAACCAUCUUAAAACCUUUGGGUGUCUUUGUUUUGCUUCUGUUCCCAAGCAACAAAGGGACAAAUUUCAGCCUAGGACUGAUCCUUGUGUUUUUCUGGGAUAUCCUUUGGGUAAAAAGGGGUACAAGAUGUACAACUUGAAGACUAAACUGACACUAGUCUCCAGAGAUGUGGUCUUUCAUGAAGAUGUCUUUCCCUUUACCUCUUCAGGGAAUACCUCUUCUGUUUCUUCUUCUACUCUUAAUCCACCUCCUGUUCACUUUCUUCCUACUGAUGAUUCCUUACCCAAUCCUUCUUCUUCACCUUCUUCCUCAUCUGUACCUCCUCUUUCUCCCUCCUACCUUCUCCUUCUUUGCACCAUCCUCCUCCUGUAGCUACUACUCCUGCUCUUAGAAGGUUUAGCAAGACUCACAUUCCUCCUGCUGCUUAUCUCCAACAGUAUGUCUGCAAUCUCCAACAGUAUGUCUGCAAUCUCCAUCCCUCUCUUGUUGGCUCCAGUUCUUCUUCCACUUGUCUUCACAGUUUGGUUAACAGUGCACAGGUUGAGCCUACUUCUUAUCAGCAGGCUCCAUGUCUCCCUGCAUGGCAGGAGGCAAUGACAAAGGAGUUUGCAGCUUUAGAGGAUAAUCACACU